RNAcentral lists this ribosomal RNA (253 nucleotides) under uncultured bacterium. RNAcentral describes it as "partial 16S ribosomal RNA". It matches the Rfam family "Bacterial small subunit ribosomal RNA", at positions 524 to 776 of the family's 1533-position model. The record is from RNAcentral.
UACGUAGGGUGCAAGCGUUGUCCGGAAUUAUUGGGCGUAAAGAGCUCGUAGGCGGUUUGUCGCGUCUGCUGUGAAAACUCGGGGCUCAACUCCGAGCUUGCAGUGGGUACGGGCAGACUAGAGUGCGGUAGGGGAGACUGGAAUUCCUGGUGUAGCGGUGGAAUGCACAGAUAUCAGGAGGAACACCGGUGGCGAAGGCGGGUCUCUGGGCCGUAACUGACGCUGAGGAGCGAAAGCAUGGGGAGCGAACAGG